AUAAACUUGUCUUGAUCGAAGCGUGUAUGCAGUGUACGGUAGGACAAUAUUGUUCUGCAGGCUUGCUCAAGUGAUAUGUUGUACCUGUGUUACCAAUGUAAACAUGAAUCGUGUCACGAAUUUCAAGUUAGCUUGAUCAGUCUAUAGUUUUACGAAGGGCUCGUUUGGUAAAGCUCCGAGAGUCGAUGUAUAGUGAUUCCGAAUGAUUAAAAGUGAAAUUUAUCUGACGAAAAAUGUUUGGCAAAUAACGUGUGAAGUGAUUCUUGAUGGGUUUUGGCUAGGAGUACAAAUGGAGACUAGAUUCACUCCGCUCCCACCAUAGGGCACUUCACUUUUUACCGUUUGAUUACGUGGGAAUGAUUUUCGCUGAGAGUGGAGCUGUGGUAGCUCUGCCAAACGCCCCCAAAGCAGCGGUGAAGCUAAUCUUAUUUUUAUGAAACGUUUAAUGAAAUAGCUCUAGAUAUACCAGAGUAGAGAUGGCAAUGAGCCCUGAUUCCCGAUUUUCCCGGGGAAUUCUUCCGUCAAGGGAUAGAGGCGGGGAAGUUUUAUCUCACGAGGAUGUAAAUGAGGAAAAAAUUCUUUCCCCCACAAUAGCAUUCCUCAUCCCCGUUUCUAGUGGGGAUCCGUUAAACAUACACGUGACGAUUUUUUGUGUAAUAAUUAAUGAUAAAAAUAAAUAGUUACCUUAUCAAGAUAUCUCUCAUUGUACAAAUGUGUUUAUUUUGAUGUACAUAUAAUGGUUUCUUACAUCUGACAAUGUGUAUAAGUGACAAUGUUUUGCAUUAAUAAUAAAGAAAGUAUGUUCUAAUUAUAAUUUAAACGGGGACGGGGAUCUUCGUCAGGAAUUUAUCGCCGCAGGGAACAGAGAUGAAGAAUAAAUGUCCCCUCGUUAUUGAAAAUGAUAGAAAAACACUUUGGAACAGAUUAACGUAAAUUUACGGUCCACCAGACAAUGGGAAAGUGAGAGUGUGGCUUCUUGCGCCCUGUGCCUAGUUCUUUUAUAAAAACAGAGGAGCGUGGUGAAGCAAAACUACAUUUACUGUCGCCGCACCUAUCUACUGGUGGUUUUUUCUUAGACUCCGAAGCUUUCUGCUAAUCACCACCUUUAGAGCGAGCUUUAGGGGAAAAAGAGUUAAGAUUAUUGAGGCAAAGGUCUAGAAAACGGUUGUGCAAGAGCAGGGGAGAGGAAGUGCUUCCACCUUGUCCUUAGGGUGCACUCAGAUUCUUGAGGUAAUGACUCAAUAUCUACCUUUUUCCACGUUAAGCCGGCUGGGAUCAGAGCUGACCAACAUGUUACUGACUACAAAGGGUACGGGCAAAGAAGGUCAUGCUUCAUCACCUACAAUGACAGAAAAAUCACCAGCAAGAGAAAAAAGCUCACGGAUCGAAUCUCUUAUUGAUGCAAUUUUUGGGCCUUCGUCACCAAAGGAGGAAGAAGUUGAAGCAAAAAGUGUCGAAGCUGGUAAAUAUUCAGGAUUUGAAAAGGGGGCUCGAAAAGCUAAGCACUGCUCUAAAGCCAGACAAGGUUGGACAUGCUCGCUCUUCUGGCAAAGAAUUGGAUGAAGAAAAUGACUUUUUUGUUAGACAUCUUGCCAGUGGUGAUCUAAACGAGGAAGAUGCUUCGAAGCUAAAAGAGCAAGCUAAAGCUAUUGGUUACAACUCCAGGGCUAUGAUCUUUGGUGGAGGAAAAGAUGUCUUGGUGUGCAUCCCGAAGCUAGAGAAGCUAAAAUUGUUAAGAACGUUGCUCGAAGCUUUGGGUUCCCAGAGAUCGAGAUGACACUGAGCAAGUUGAGAAAGCGGAAGCUUUCUCAAAGCUUUACCUAUACAAACUGAAAGGGAAAUAGGCUCACACCUUUUCCUAAAUGAUUUUGGUGGUUGAAUUGCCCAAUACAAAUAAUUGGACUAACUAGUUUGCUCUAGAUUUUAAGUUCUACAGGUGACAAAGGUUCAACACAAACCAAUAAAAAGUCCAAGAAAGGGUUCAAAUAAAAAGAGCAAAAGACAACCGAAGGCUGACCUGGUCUGGCGCACCGGACUAUUCGGUGUGCCACCGGACAGUGUCCGGUGCACCAGGGAGAUCAACUCCAAACUUGCCACCUUCGGGAAUUUGGGAAGCCACUCCGCUAUAAUUCACCGGACUGUCCGGUGUAGCACCGGACUGUCCGUUGUAGCACCAGACUGUCCGGUGUGCCAAGCGGAGCAACGACUCCCUGCGCCAACGGUCGUCUGCAACGCUACAGGAACAGUGAACAGUGUGCGACUGCGCGCGCAGAGUCAGAGCAGGCGUCAGAUGGCGCACCGGACAGUGAACAGGACCUGUCCGGUGCACCACUAGACUGUCCGGUGGCCCACAUGUCAGAAGCUCCAACGGUCGAACCCUAAUGGUUGGGUGAUGUGGCUGGCGCACCGGACAGUGUUCGAUGGUGCACCAGACUGUCCGGUGCGCCAUACGACAGCAGCCUUCCCCAACGACCUUUUUGGUGGUUGGGGCUAUAAAUACCCCCCCAACCACCACACUUCAAUGCAUCCAAGUUUUCAGCCAUCAAACCUCAUACAAGAGCUCUAUACUUCAUUCCAAGACACAAACAAAGAGAUAAAAUCCUCUCCCAAGUUCGGAAUCACUCCAAACAAAUUAGUGACUAGAGAGAGAGACUUUUAUGUUCUUUUGAGCUCUUGCACUUGGAUCGCUUUUCUUCUUCCUCUACUCUUGUUUCCAACUCACUUGUAAUCAAAACAAGAGACACCAAGUUGUGGUGGUCCUUGUAGUGGACUAAGUGUCCCAUUUGAUUGAAGAGAAAGGCUCACUCGGUCUAAGUGACCGUUUGAGAGAGGGAAAGGGUUGAAAGAGACCCGGUCUUUGUGACCACCUCAACGGGGAGUAGGUUUGCAAGAACCGAACCUCGGUAAAACAAAUCACUGUGUUCAUCCGCUUUAUUUUUUUAUUUUGUUUUCCCUCUCUUUCGGACUCGAUUAUUUCUAAUGUUAACCCCGGCUUGUAGUUGUGCUUAAACUUUAUAGAUUUCAGAUUUGCCUAUUCACCCCCCUUUAGACGACUUUCAAUUGGUAUCAGAGCCCGGUACUUCAUUAAGAGCCUAACCGCUCGAAGUGAUGUCGGGAGCUCAUGCCAAGAAGGAGAUGGUGACCAGCGAGAAGCCCACCACAAGCCACGGGAAGGCUCCAUCGGGGGAGUCCGGCAACAAGAAGAGGGAGGAAUCACCUCCCCACGUCAAGUCGCACCGGAGUGGCGACAAGAAGAAGAAAAUGAAGAAAGUGGUCUACUACGAGACAGAUUUUUCGUCGCCCUCCACCUCCAGCUCCGACACGCCUUCCGUCACUUCUAAGUGCCAUGAGCGCAAGAAGUUUAGUAAGAUUCCCUUACACUAUCCUCGUAUUUCCAAACGCACCCCUUUACUUUCCGUCCCAUUAGGCAAACCACCGGUUUUUGAUGGUGAAGAUUAUUGCAUGUGGAGUGAUAAAAUGAGGCACCAUCUAACCUCACUCCACGCUAGUAUUUGGGACAUUGUUGAGUUUGGUGCGUAGGAACCAUCCAUGGGGGAUGAAGGCUAUGACUCGGACGAGGUAGCCCAAAUCCGGCACUUCAACUCCCAAGCCACGACUAUACUCCUCGCCUCUCUAAGUCGAGAGGAGUAUAAUAAGGUGCAAGGGUUGAAGAGUGCCAAAGAGAUUUGGGACGUGCUCAAGACCGCGCACGAAGGAGACGAGGUGACCAAGAUCACCAAGAGGGAAACGAUAGAGGGGGAGCUCGGUCGCUUCAUGCUUCAUCAAGGGGAAGAGCCACAAGCGAUGUACAACCGGCUCAAGACCUUGGUGAACCAAGUGCGCAACCUCGAGAGCACAAAGUGGGAUGACCAUGAAAUGGUCAAGGUUAUUCUUAGAUCACUCGUUUUUCUUAACCCCACUCAAGUUCAAUUAAUUCGUGGUGAUCCAAGAUAUAAACUAAUGUCUCCCGAGGAAGUGAUAGGAAAAUUUGUGAGCUUUGAAUUGAUGAUCAAAGGCUCCAAGAAAAUCAUCGAGCAAGGCGCCACCUCUACAUCCGAGGUGCAACCCGUCGCCUUCAAAGCGACGAAGGAGAAGAAAGAAGAGUCUACAUCAAGUAGGCUCCCCAUCGACGCCUCCAAGCUCGACAACGAGGAGAUGGCGCUCAUCAUCAAGAGCUUUCGCCAAAUCCUCAAGCAAAGGAGGGGGAGGAUUACAAACCCCGCUCCAAGAAAGUUUGCUACAAGUGUGGUAAGCCUAGUCAUUUCAUUGCUAAAUGUCCAUUAUCAAGUGAUAGUGAUAGGGGCGACGACAAGAAGGGGAGAAGAAAGGAGAAGAAGAAGUAUUACAAGAAGAAGGGCGGCGAUGCCCAUGUAUGCCGUGAAUGGGACUCGGACGAGAGCUCCACCGACUCCUCCUCUGACGAGGACGCCGCCAACAUCACCAUCAACAAGGGUCUUCUCUUCCCCAACGUCGGUCACAAGUGCCUCAUGGCAAGGGACGACAAAAAGAAGGUAAAAGCUAGAGCCUCCGCUAAAUAUGCAACAUCUAGUGAUGAGGCUAGCUCUAGUGAUGAUGAGGAUGAUUUGCUCACCCUUUUUGCCAACUUAAACAUGCAACAAAAAGAAAAAUUGAAUGAAUUGAUUAGUGCUAUUCAUGAGAAGGAUGAACUCUUGGAUAGCCAAGAGGACUUCCUUAUUAAAGAAAAUAAGAAGCAUGUUAAAGUUAAAAAUGCUUAUGCUCAGGAGAUAGAAAAAUGUGAAAAAUUAACUAGUGAGCUAAGCAUCUGCCAUAACACUAUUUCCAACCUUAGAUUUGAAAAUGAUAAAUUGAUUGCUAAGGUUGAAAAAUUAAAUGUUAGUGAUGAUUCUCUUGUCAACCUUAGAAAUGAUAAUGCUAAUUUAAUUGCUAAGAUUGACAAGUUGAAUGCAUCUCUCUCUAGCCUUAAAAUUGAGAAUGAAAAAUUAAUUGCUAAGGCUAAAGAUUUAAAUGUUUGCAAUGUCUCUAUUUCCAAUCUUAGAGAUGAGAAUGCUAUUUUACAUGCUAAGAUUGUUGAAUUAAAUACUUGUAAACCCUCUACAUCUACUGUUGAGCAUGUUACUAUUUGCACUAGAUGUAGAGAUAUUAAUGUUGAUGCUAUUCAUGAUCACCUAGCUUUAAUUAAACAACAAAAUGAUCACAUAGCUCAACUUAGUGCCAAAAUCAAUGAGCAUGACUUAGAAAAUGAAAAUUUUAAAUUUUCUAUAAGUAUGCUCUAUAAUGGGAGAUGCCCAGGCAUUAAGGAUGGCAUUGGCUUCCAACAGGGAGACAAUGUCAAGCUUAGUGCCCCUAAGAAAUUAUCUAAUUUUGUUAAGGGUAAGGCUCCCAUGGUUCAGGAUAACGAGGGUUACAUUUUAUACCCUGCCGGUUAUUCCAAACACAAAAUUAGGAGAAUUCAUUCUAGGAAGUCUUACUCUGGCUCUCAUCAUGCUUUUAUGUAUAAGAGUGAGGCAUCUAGUUCUAGGCAAUCCACUCAUGCUAAAUUGCCUAAGAAGAAAACUCCUAAAGAAUCAAAUGAGCCUAACAUUUCAUUUAAGACUUUUGGUGCUUCAUAUGUGCUCACUAACAAAUCAGGCAAAGUAGUUGCCAAAUAUGUUGGGGGAAAACACAAGGGGUCAAAGACUUGUGUUUGGGUACCCAAGGUGCUUGUUUCUAAUGUGAAAGGACCCAAGACCGUUUGGGUACCUAAGAACAAGGCCUAAAUUUGUUUUGUAGGUUUAUGAAUCUGGGGGCUCAAGUUGGAUAAUUGAUAGCGGGUGCACAAACCACAUGACUGGGGAGAAAAAGAUGUUCUCCUCCUAUGAGAAAAACCAUGAUCCCCAUUGAGCUAUCACAUUCGGGGAUGGAAAUCAAGGUUUGGUCAAAGGACUUGGUAAAAUUGCUAUAUCACCUGACCAUUCUAUUUCCAAUGUUUUUCUUGUAGAUUAUUUAGAUUACAACUUGCUUUCAGUUUCUCAAUUAUGCAAAAUGGGCUACAAUUGUCUUUUUAUAGAUAUAGGUGUUAUUGUCUUUAGAAGAAGUGAUGAUUAAGUAGCAUUUAAGGGAGUGUUAGAGGGUCAGCUAUAUUUAGUUGAUUUUAAUAGAGCUGAACUUGACACUUGCUUAAUUGCUAAGACUAACAUGGGUUGGCUCUAGCAUCGCCGACUAGCCCACGUUGGGAUGAAGAAUCUUCAUAAGCUUCUAAAGGGAGAGCACAUUUUGGGACUAACAAAUGUUCAUUUUGAGAAAGAUAGGAUUUAUAGCACAUGUCAAGCAGGGAAGCAAGUUGUUGUUCAUCAUCCACACAAGAACAUCAUGACGACUGACAGGCCACUUGAGCUACUCCACAUGGAUCUAUUUGGCUCGAUAGCUUACAUAAGCAUCGGCGGGAGUAAGUACUGUCUAGUUAUUGUGGAUGAUUAUUCUCGCUUCACUUGGGUGUUCUUUUUGCAGGAAAAAACACAAACCCAAGAGACCUUAAAGGGAUUCUUGAGACGGGCUCAAAAUGAGAUCGGCUUAAGGAUCAAAAAGAUUAGAAGCGACAACGGAACGGAGUUCAAGAACUCACAAAUAGAAGGCUUUCUUGAGGAUGAGGGCAUCAAGCAUGAGUUCUCUUCUCCCUACAUGCCACAACAAAAUGGUGUAGUGGAGAAGAAGAAUAGAACUCUACUUGACAUGGCGAGGACCAUGCUUGAUGAGUACAAGACUUCAGACCGGUUUUGGGCGGAAGCAAUCAACACCGCUUGCUACGCCAUCAACCGUCUCUAUCUUCACCGAAUCCUCAAGAAGACAUCAUAUGAACUCCUCACCAGUAAAAAGGCCAAUGUUUCAUAUUUUAGAGUCUUUGGUAGCAAAUGCUUUAUUCUUAUUAAAAGAGGCAGAAAAUCUAAAUUUGCUCCUAAGGCUGUAGAAGGUUUUUUACUUGGUUAUGAUUCAAACACAAGGGCAUAUAGAGUCUUUAACAAGUCCACUGGACUAGUUGAAGUUUCUUGUGACAUUGUGUUUGAUGAGACUAACGGCUCUCAAGUAGAGCAAGUUGAUCUUGAUGAGCUAGAUGAGGAGGAGGCUCCUUGCGUCGCGCUAAGGAACAUGUCCAUUGGGGAUGUGUGUCCUAAGGAAUCCGAAGAGCCUCCACAUGCACAAGAUCAACCAUCUUCCUCCAUGCAAGCAUCUCCACCAACCCAAGAUGAGGAUCAAGCUCAAGAUGAUGAAAAUGAAGAUCAAGAAGAGCCACCUCAAGAGGAGGACAAUGAUCAAGGGGGAGAUGUCAAUGAUCAAGACAAGGAAGAUGAUGAUAGACCAUCUCACCCAAGAGUCCACCAAGCAAUACAAAGAGAUCACCUCGUGAACACCAUCCUCGGUGAUAUUCAAAAAGGGGUAACCACUCGAUCUCGUGUUGCUCAUUUUUGUGAACAUUACUCCUUUGUGUCUUCUAUUGAGCCAUACAGGGUGGAAGACACAUUAAGGGAUUCAGAUUGGGUGUUAGCAAUGCAAGAGGAACUCAACAAUUUCACGAGGAAUGAAGUAUGGCAUUUGGUUCCACGUCCUAACCAAAAUGUUGUAGGAACCAAGUGGGUCUUCCGCAACAAGCAAGAUGAGCAUGGUGUGGUGACAAGGAACAAAGCCCGACUUGUGGCCAAGGGUUAUUCACAAGUCGAAGGUUUGGAUUUCGGUGAAACCUAUGCACCCGUAGCUAGGCUUGAGUCAAUUCGUAUAUUACUUUCCUAUGCUACUUACCAUGGCUUUAAGCUUUACCAAAUGGACGUGAAAAGUGCCUUCCUCAAUGGACCAAUCAAGGAGGUCUAUGUUGAGCAACCUCCCGUCUUUGAAGAUAGUGAGUACCCUAACCAUGUCUAUAAACUCUCUAAGGCGCUUUAUGGGCUCAAGCAAGCCCCAAGAGCAUGGUAUGAAUGCCUAAGAGAUUUUCUUAUCGCUAAUGCCUUCAAAGUCGGAAAAGCCGAUCCUACUCUCUUUACUAAAACAAUUGCUAAUGAUUUUUUUGUAUGCCAAAUUUAUGUUGAUGAUAUUAUAUUUGGGUCUACUAACAAAUCUACUUGUGAAGAAUUUAGUAGGAUAAUGGUUCAAAAAUUCGAGAUGUCAAUGAUGGGGGAGUUGAAGUAUUUCUUAGGAUUUCAAGUCAAGCAACUCCAAGAGGGCACCUUCAUUAGACAAACGAAGUACAUUCAAGACAUACUCACCAAGUUUGGAAUGAAGGAUGCCAAACCCAUCAAGACACCCAUAGGAACUAAUGGGCAUCUCGUCCUCGACAUGGGAGGUAAAUCCGUAGAUCAAAAGGUAUACCGGUCGAUGAUAGGAUCUCUACUCUAUUUAUGUGCAUCUCGACCGGAUAUUAUGCUUUCUGUAUGCAUGUGUGCAAGAUUCCAAGCCGAUCCUAAGGAAGUUCACCUUAGGGCCGUGAAACGUAUCUUGAGAUAUUUAGUUCAUACCCCUAAGUUUGGCCUUUGGUACCCCAAGGGAUCCACAUUUGCUUUAAUUAGUUAUUCCGAUGCUGACUGGGCAGGGUGUAAGAUUGAUAGAAAGAGCACAUCAGGAACUUGCCAGUUCUUGGGAAGAUCUCUGGUGUCUUGGGCUUCUAAGAAACAAAAUUCUGUAGCUCUUUCUACCGCCGAAGCCGAGUACAUUGUCGCAGGCCAUUGUUGCACGCAAUUGCUUUGGAUGAGGCAAACCCUUAGGGACUAUGGUUACAAAUUAACCAAAGUUCCUCUCCUAUGUGAUAAUGAGAAUGCAAUCCGCAUGGCGGAUAAUCCCGUUGAGCACAGCCGCACUAAGCACAUAGCCAUUCGGUAUCACUUUUUGAGGGAUCACCAACAAAGGGGGGAUAUCGAGAUUGCAUAUGUUAGCACCAAAGAACAAUUAGCCGAUAUCUUUACCAAGCCUUUUUAUGAGAAAACCUUUACCAAACUUAGGCAUGAGCUAAACAUUCUUGAUUCUAGGAAUUUUGAUUGAUAUUUUGCACACCUAGCUCAUUUAUAUACCCUUGAUCAUAUCUCUUUCAUGUGCUAUGACUAAUGUGUUUUUCAAGUGUAUUUCAUGCUAAGUCAUAGAUUGAAACAAAAAUGGAGUUCUUCGGCGAAGACAAGGCUUCCACUCCACUCCAUCGUAUUAUUUCUCCUUCGCCGACACUCCGCAUCGCUCUCCAAUUUGGUAUAAUCUUCACUCUUAUAUUAUUUACCAAAGGGGGAGAAAGUUUGAAAAGGGCUUAUAUUUCACUCACAAGUAUCCGUUUUUGGCGAUUCAUGCCAAAGGGGGAGAAAGUAUUAGCCCAAAGCAAAACGACCGCACCACCACCGAUUUCAAAAAUUUGUAGUCUUUCAAUUUGUAUUGAAGAAGUUUUUCAAUUGAUAUCUUAUUUUUGAUAUAAUUUCAAAUUGGUAUGACCUCUUUCAAAAUUCAUAUCUAAAACCCUCUUGAACACUAAGAGGAGAAUUUCAUUAAGGGGGAGUUUUGUGUAGUCAAAGGAAAAGCAUUUGAAACAGGGGAGAAAAUUUCAAAUCUUAAGAAUGCUUCUCGAAAUCUUAUUCAUUUACCUUUGACUAUUUGCAAAAAUACUUUGAAAAGAAUUUCCAAAAGAGUUUGCAAAAAAAACAAGUGGUGCAAAGCGUGGUCCAAAAUGUUAAAUUAGAAGAAAGCAUCCAUGCAUAUCUUAUGAGAUGUAUAUUGGUUUAAUUCCAAGUAACCUUUGCACAUACCUUUUGCAAACUAGUUCAAUUACUGCACCUAUAUAUUUGCUUUGGUUUGUGUUGGCAUCAAUCACCAAAAAGGGGGAGAUUGAAAGGGAAAUAGGCUCACACCUUUUCCUAAAUGAUUUUGGUGGUUGAAUUGCCCAACACAAAUAAUUGGACUAACUAGUUUGCUCUAGAUUAUAAGUUCUACAGGUGCCAAAGGUUCAACACAAACCAAUAAAAAGUCCAAGAAAGGGUUCAAAUAAAAAGAGCAAAAGACAACCGAAGGAUGCCCUGGUCUGGCGCACCAGACAGUGUCCGGUGCACCAGGGAGAUCAACUCCAAACUUGCCACCUUCGGGAAUUUGGGAAGCCACUCCGCUAUAAUUCACCGGACUGUCCGGUGUAGCACCGGACUGUUCGGUGUAGCACCGAACUGUCCGGUGUGCCAAGUGGAGCAAUAGCUCCCUGCGCCAACGGUCGUCUGCAACGCUACAGGAAUAGUGAACAGUGCACGACUGCGCGCGCAGAGUCAGUGUAGGCGUCAGAUGGCGCACCGGACAGUGAACAGGACCUGUCCGGUGCACCACCGGACUGUCCGGUGGCCCACAUGUCAGAAGCUCCAACGGUCAAACCCUAACGGUUGGGUGACGUGGCUGGCGCACCGGACAGUGUCCAUUGGUGCACCAGACUGUCCGGUGCGCCAUACGACAACAGCCUUCCCCAACGACCGUUUUGGUGGUUGGGGCUAUAAAUACCCCCAACCACCACACUUCAAUGCAUCCAAGUUUUCAGCCAUCAAACCUCAUACAAGAGCUCUAGACUUCAUUCCAAGACACAAACAAAGAGAUCAAAUCCUCUCCCAAGUCCGGAAUCACUCCAGACAAAUUAGUGACUAGAGAGAGAGACUUUUGUGUUCUUUUGAGCUCUUGUGCUUGGAUCGCUUUUCUUCUUCCUCUAUUCUUGUUUCCAACUCACUUGUAAUCAAAACAAGAGACACCAAGUUGUGGUGGUCCUUGUAGUGGACUAAGUGUCCCAUUUGAUUGAAGAGAAAGGCUCACUCGGUCUAAGUGACCGUUUGAGAGAGGAAAAGGGUUGAAAGAGACCCGGUCUUUGUGACCACCUCAACGGGGAGUAGGUUUGCAAGAACCGAACCUCGGUAAAACAAAUCACUGUGUUCAUCCGCUUUAUUUCUUUGUUUUGUUUUCCCUCUUUUUCGGACUCGAUUAUAUUUCAAACGCUAACCCCGGCUUGUAGUGGUGCUUAAACUUUAUAAAUUUCAGAUUUGCCUAUUCACCCCCCCUCUAGGCGACUUUCACAAACAUUAAGGUAAAAACUUUUCUUUUAUCAUGCAACUUCGAUAAGGAUAUGAAUAAUUAACCAUUUUCCUUCGUGAUUACCUUGCAGGGCUUAAUGUUGAUCAAAGCUCUAAAACUUCAACAAGACAUGGAAGAUGCUGAAAACGAAGCAAUUAUGUCAGAACUUCAGAGUGAAGUGGAUAGGCUUGAAGACUCAUUCGACAAAAGAAUGGCAAGAUUGCUUCUUUGAAGCGCGCUUUGACUGAAGCUAAGAAGGAAAAUGAAGAAGCAGGAAAGACACAUGAACAAGAUGAGAUAAAGAUUAAGGAGCAAGAUGAAGCUAUCAAUGAGCUUCAUGCAGAUCCUGAAAAGGAAAAGAAUAAAUUAAUGCCAAGAGCGAAGAAAAUGUGAAGCUACUAGAGUCCUUAAGACAUCUUCGAGGUCACUGCUUCAGCAUCGCCUCCCUGUGCUGUGAUCGCCUGAGAAAGGUUUUCUUCUCUACCGACGACACUUUAGGCGAGAAUUCUUAUACUAGCAGGGAUGUUGGCGGAGUUCUUGCUUGGGUGGAAAAAGAACUGGGGAACUCGAAGGUGUUAUGAAUGUCUGAGGCGAUUAUUACGCAAUUGUUGGAUCUCGCGGUAUGGCCUCUAUGCUAGAGAAGACAUGCUACGAUCACAUCAAGGCAAUCAGCAAAAUAGACUUCAACAUGGAUGUUGAAGAGAUAAAUAAGCCUUCGAAGGAGGUGUUCAAUGCUAUAAAGUGGUCCUAUAUGAAUAUUUGGGACAAGGGUGGUCCACAAAUAGCUACUUCUGAGGUUGAAGCUUAUACAAAGAAGGUUUUUUCUCAGAACUUGUAUCUUUGAAAUUCUCUUAUUUCAUCCUUUGUGAUAAUGAAUUGCUUUGGUCUUUUUCUUGCUCAGUAAAGAGGCUAAGAAGAAGGCCAAGAAUUGAAGUGGGCUCGAAGCUUAGUCACUUAUCUCCUCUAAACUAUAGGAUCUUUGACGAAGGACUUUUUGUAAAUAAGUACAUGUAUAUAAAGAAACUUUUGUGGAUGUAUGAUAACCUUGACUUUUCACUAUUUUUAUUCGGAUGCUUUGUUGUGUGUGAAACCAAACUUGCGGGUUUUUGAGCCGAAGGUGAAAAACAAUUUCUCUUCAUUUCACGCAAAACAAAGCUGCCAAAGCUGGACUAAUUUAGUUAUUUCAAAACUUAAUAUUUGCUUCUUCUAGUCGAAGAACUUUUCUAGAAUUGUUGGUAUAAUGUAGUUUUUUUGCAUCUUGCCAAAGUUGUACCACUAGAGAUGCAUCAACACGACUGAAAUUAUUCAAAAUUUGACUCUGCAUUCCCUUGGGAACGACGUAUGAGUUUCUUAGCAUCAUUAGUUCAGUGCUUCUUCUUACGAAUCUGCAUUCCCUUAGGAACGACUUCUGAGCCUUCUUCAGCACCUUUAUUUCACUGCUUCUCUUAUGACUCUGCAUUCACUUGGGAACAACUUCUGAGCCUUCUUCAGCACCUUUAUUUUAGUGCUUUUUCUUACGACUCUGUAUUCCCUUAGGAAUGACUUCUGAGCCUUAUCACCAUUACUAGGUGAUUUUGAUCCUGCCUUCGUGUGAAGGGCUUCAGUAUUUGUUUCUUCUUUUCAUCGCUGCACUCAAAGGUGCCACCACAGAAUACAUUCUUGCAUCGUGUUUUGGGGAUAUGUCCUUAUAGAUUUGGGCCACUUUACAAGAUAUUGCAAAAUUGACCCCAUUAAAAAACCAUACCCCCUUGUAAGGAAAAAGGGUUCCAAUGUUGAAGAAGGAAAUUGCGAUUAAGCUAUGCAUAGUAUCUCGAAAGCUCAUAUGCAUCCUAAGAUCUAGGGAUUUCAUUUCCUUGCAUGUCCCUUAGUCUGAAUGAUCAUGUCCUAUUUAAGGCUGAAACUAGAUAAGACCGUCCCACUUUGUCUGAAGCUUGCAUGUUGUGUCUGGGUUGGCAACCCUUCGAAGCACCAAGUGGCCUGGUGCUAUAUUCUUAAGCUUCACUUUUCUGUUUCGCCACCUUACUGCCUCAGCUUGAUAUUUCCUUACUUGUUCAAUGACUUCGAGUCUUGAUUCUUCCAUUGCAUCUUUUGAAACCUUUUCAUUGUCUUUGUUAUCAGUUGAUGCUACGACUCUUACUGAACCCAACUUCACUUCUUUUGGAUUCAUUGCCUCAUCUCAAAGAGGAGCUUGAAUGACGUAAACCUUGUAGACCUUCAUAUCAAAGUAUUAUGAUUCCACAUUACCUUAAUGAGCUCUUCUGGCCACUUCCCCUUCGAGAGUCCGAACAAAGACUUUGUGAUUCACGAAAUGAUUAUACCAUUUGCCCUUUCAACCAAUCCAUUGGAUUCUGAGUGUCUGAUCAAAGCAAAGUGCAUGUGGGUUCCCACUUGACUACAAAAUGUUCUGAAUGCUUUGGAGUUGAAUUGGGUGCCAUUAUCAAUAGUUAGAGACUUUGGGACUCCGAAAUAGCAUAUGAUAUUUUGCCAAAAGAACUUUUGGAUCAUUGUUGAAGUUAUCGUGGCUAAAGCUUUUGUCUCAAUCCAUUUCGAGAGUAUUUGACUGCUACUAUAGCAUACUUCAAAUUUCCUUAGGCUGGGGGCAUCGAGCCAAUUAUGUCCAUUACCCAUCUUUGUAAGAGCCAUGUUGGCUAGAUUAGCUGGGUUAGUGACGAAGAUUGUUUCUGAUCUCAUGCACAUCUUUGGCAAUUGUCACAUUUUUGCACAAAUUCUGUUGUGUCCGAAGUUGCCUUCGAUCAAUAAAAACCUUGAUAGGAUAUCUUUCCCAACAAAGCUCUAGGGUCAAUGUGCGACCCACAGAUACCAAAGUGGAUUUAUUUUAUCAACUCAUGGCUUCAUCUCUAGAAAUGCACUUAAGCAGAGGCGAGCAAACACCCUACUUAUAGAGUUCCCCUUCUAUUAUCUUAUAUGGUCUUGUUCUGGCUUGCAUCAUUUUAACAUACACUUCGUCGUUUGUUGGGUAAUUCCAUUGAAGUAAAGUUAUAAUUUUCAUUCUCCAAUAUUUGCUAUAUGUAGGGGAAACUGUUAGGAUGGUCCUUUCCUUUCACAUUACCGAAGGUGCCUUUAGUAUUUCAAAGAACACUUCGAGAGGCAAAGGGAGCCCAUGUGCCGCAGACUUAGCCAACAUGUCAGCAUGUUCAUUGUCUAGCCUUGUGAUGUUCCUCACAGAGAAACCUUUGAACAAACAUUCCAUCCUUCGAACCAUAGCAAGGUACUUCUCCAAAGCUGGGUUCUUUUGCUUUACUUGUUUUAUUAGCAUGACAUGUGAUAACUUGAGAAUCGGAUUUUAAAAUUGCUCUCUUUACACCCAUUGCCUUAAGCUUCCUCAAGCCUAGUGGCAGAGCUUCAUACUCUGCAAUGUUGUUUGUGCACUAAAAUUGUAACUUGGCUACAUAUGAUGACUUUACUUUUGAGGGUAAGAUGAUGACAGUAGCAGCACCAGCCUCGAAGGAUCCCCAUGAGCCAUCAUAGAAAACUGUCCAUAUAGCUUCUUCUGAAGUGCUAGCUUCGUCUUGUGGGUCAUGAGUCCAACCAGUAAUGAAAUCUUCUAAUGCCUGAGAUUAAAUAGAUGAUUUGUGAACAAAAUCAUUGACAAAUUCGUUGAGUUCGGUGGCCCAUUUUCCAAUUUGGACAGUAGCUUCUUUGUUUCUUAUGAUGUCUUUCAAAGGUUGCGAUGAAGGUAUAAUGAUGUUGUAAGACUAGAAAUAAUUUUGAAGCUUCCUGGAAGCCAUUAAGACUACACACAUGACCUUUUCUAUCUCUGAAUAAUUCCUUUUGGAUGGACCUAGUACUUCAGAGAUGAAGUAUACUAGGAUUUGCUUUUUUUGGUUCCCUCUUCCACCUUCUCAUGAAUAAGAGUAGUGUUUGAACUAGACUGCGAGGCAGAUACAUAAAGCAAUAGGGGAGCCCCUAGCGACAAUGGGGAGAGGUUGCUAAGUGGAUCAAAUAUUGUUUAAGCUCUUCGAAGGACAGAUGUUGAGAUGGUCCCCAUUGAAAUAUUUUUGCUGAUUUUAAUACCUCAAAGAAAGGUAGGCUUCGUUCUACGGACCUUGAAAUAAAUCUGUUCAAAGAAGCAAGUCUUCUUGCUAGCCUUUGAGAUCCUUUCCUUGUCUUUGAUGUCUCCAAACGAAGUAUGACUUAUAUCUCGUAUGGAUUCGCUUCAAUCCCUUUCGUUGAUACAAGGUAACCAAGAAAUUUGCCCUUCUUCACUCUAAAUACACAUUUCUCACGGUUGAGCUUUAGACCUGUCCUUCGAAAGUUGGCAAAGGUAUCUUGAAGAUCUGAGAUAUGACUUUGUUGCUUCGUGCUUCUAACAAUGGUGUCAUCAAUAUAGGUUAGAACAUUUCUGCCUAACUGUGUGCUUAACACCUUGGUUGUCAUUUUGCUAAAGCUUCCACCAGCGUUUUUGAACCCCUCAGGCAUUGGAAGAUAGCAGUAGGUGCCACUAGGGGGUUAUUGUAACAUCCCAAAAUUUCAACCCGAGGUUUGGAACCCUAAUCUUCCCCAUAUUUAUCUCUCCCUAAAACUCCACCCCAUAGGUCUUCUCAUCAUAUGCAUACACUUUGUUUGAUUAGAAGCACCUCACAUAGAUUAUAUUUUUUUAGCACCUAAGAUUAUCUAGUUAAUUAAUUGUUCAAGAGGAAAGGAGAUAAAAGAAAUAGAAAUAGAAAAUGGAAAUAAGAAAUUAAUAAAAAAAGGAGAAACCUUUCCCCCCUGGCUGGGCCGAUUCCCGGCCCAUACCCGCGGCCUCUCUCUCCCCGCGCUCGUGACCUCCCCUCCCCUCUCGGCCCACCUCCGGCCUGCUCCCUCACGUGCGCCAGCCCACCCCGCGAGCUCUCUCUCUCUCGCUGCUGCCCGACCCCACCCGCCAGCCACACUCACCCUCGCUCUCUCUCGCCCACGCAUCGCUGACAAGCCGGCCCCGCUAGUCAGCCACCCUAUCUUCCUCGCCGCACACGGCUUCAGCGCGAUCGCCGUCGGCCACCGUCCUCCUCCUCCCCACCUGCACUCGCCACAUAGAGAAGUUCGACACCGCUUCGUCCUCGCUCGCUGUGGUCGCGUCCUUGCACGGCACCGCCCCGCCGAGCGGUCCCGUCGCCACCGUUGUGCACCAUUUACUCCAUCGUUGUGCACCUCACCAGCGUCCACCUAACACCGCUGCUUCCCUCCCAUCGGGCGCCUAUAAAAGGGCCGCCCCGAGCUCCUCCAUGACUUGCACUGGCCUCGGCCACUCUUCCCCCCUCCCCGAGCAGCGCCGCACCAGCUCCGCCGCCCCUCCCUCCAGUCCGGUAAGCUCCUUCUCCUCCUCCCCCCUCUUUGGUUGUUCAGCGAGAAAUUCACUAGGCUCAACAGCUUCACCACAUCACCGCAAACUCGGAACACCGCUCCCCUGCCCCCGAUCACCACCCAAACUUCACCGGCGACGACUCCCGCCAUGGAGCUCCGCCACCCCACCGUGGUCAGCUCCCUCCCAGUGACCUCUGGCAAAAUUGGACCCACCCUUAAGCUCGCCAGCCUCUUCUCGUGCUUUGGCACCUGCCCGAUCCCCAGGAAUCGGGUCACCGGCGGCGAAUCGCCAUUGAACCCGCCGUCGGCCGGUUCGCCCCUGCCCCGUCGGCCGCUGACGCCGUCUCCCCUCCCGCUCUCCCUGGCGCGUGGGCCCAUGACCACGACGUUGUCUUCUCACGCGCCCGCGCCGUCUCUCGCCCUUGGGCCAUGCUGGGCCGGCGCGCUCCUGCCCGCGCACGCACCCGCACCCGGCUGGGCUAGAAUUUCCCCCGGCCCACCAGAGCCAAAAAUCCUUUUCCUUUUUCCUUUUAUUUUUCCCAUUUAGUUUUGUACAUAUAUCUUGAUAUUUUAUGUACCAAAAAUUAUCCAAGCACUAUCUAAGCCACAUCGAAUGAUAAUGUUAGGAACUUGACACACUCCACUCAGUAAACCACUGUUUGAUGUAUUGUUUAUUGCCUGUUUUGCUAGAAGAAGCGGGGACCAUCGAUCCGGAACCCGUAGCCCCGGAAGAAGGGCAGGAGCCCGACCCCUCCGAGAUAAAUCUUUUGUGCCAGGAAAGCUUCGACGAAGGCAAGUCCAUCCUUCCCUUGAUGCAUAAUUUACCUAUUCUUUCUACCACUACCUAAGCGGGGAUUAAGGGAUGGAAUAUUUGCAUUGUGAGCAGAGAGAUAGCCCGCAUUAACAAACAUCUUUUGAAUACAAAAUGUGGGAUGGGAAAAAGGGCAGUGUGUUUCACUAAGCAAGGUUUUCAAAAAGUGUGCGAUGAAGGGUAUUCACCCUCAUCACCUUGUGAGUGGGAUGAUCAGUGACUCCCUAGUUUAGGGGAGGGCCUAAGGUGAAGGCUCAGCUGGUUUAGGCGUGAGCAGAAGGAUUGUCCCCUCAUAUACGGACCGGUUUGUCAUCUUUCACUACCUGUACUCAUGAUAAGUACAACCACUCGAGACUGUGUGGGCAGUCACUCAAUCUGAACUCGUACGGUCCAACCCCAGGGUUAUGAAGGCUGGGGAGCACCGGGAGGAUAAGGAGGGGGAAUGUUUUGUCUGGUUUGGACAUGGCGGUGGCCUGACUCCUUCCGGUAUAACCGUUAAGGUUAGGACGUGCGAGGGAAGAAAGAGAUUCAGAUUCGGAUCUCAUUGGCCAUGGGAUCGCAGAGCCGGACUAGUGGGUAAAGUGUACCCCUCUGCGUAGAGUUCAAACCUAUUCAGAAAGUAUGUGUCCACUGGAAUGGACGAGUCUGGUGUGGUAUGACAAUUAGUGUCUUACAACCUCUGUGAACAGGGAAAUGUGUGUGUGUGAGUGCGUGUUUGGAAAAGAAAACGAUGCCGCGGGAGCGAGAAGCUUAGUGGUGGUUGAGUAUUGUGUUAUUUCUAUUUCCAUGGGAAAACCCUAAAAGUACUGCCUUUCUCUGAAAAAAAGAGUGACUUCAACUCCACCAUAUAAAGCAUGUAUGAUAUAGGUCCCUUUCUCUUUACGGGAGCGGGAUGGGCUUGCAGAAUACCUAGUGUUUUCACCCAGAUUUAUUUAUGUUUUUCAGCAGCCGAAGGCUUCUUUUCUGCUAUGCUUGAUUGAGGGGACUGUGUCUGCACCCAGUUCUGCCUGUGGCUUGGGCCAGUGUAUCUUCUACUGCGCUUUGUAUUCUGGCUCUCUCGAGCUUGUACCCUGGUAUUGUAAUAACAGUUAUUCGAACUCUGUACUAUUUGAAGUAAGGAAUGUGGUUACUAGCCUCCUGGGACUAGUAAUUGUAUCACAUUUGAGUCCCAAAGGAUCGGGGCGCUUCAGGUGGUAUCAGAGCCAUAGGACUGGCCGUAUGUCGCAGCCCUGACCUUAAAAGUUUGCCUUAAAAGAAAAUACCUCUUACCCCAAGAAAAAUCUUCUCUCCUUUCCCCCGAUAUUAACAGACCCUUCUUUUCCUAUUCCAGAUAGAAGACUCUCUGGUCAUUAGGACAUCCUACUGCUCAGAGGUGGAAGGGUUCCCACAUCUGUUGCGAAGUUGUGCGCUUCGCAUGGGGAUCCGCAAUAAGCCAAAAUAUGUCUAGAAGGAAUAUCUCGAGAAUGGAAUGGAGAAGUGCUCUAUGGCAGUCUACCUGGGAGAAAGCUGAAGCUACCCAAACCACCCUCCUUUCCAAGUCACUUUCACCGGACACCGCUUCCCAGACACUUGCCAAAAUGUUGCCCGAAAAGCCCUCUGACAGCUAUGCCAAAACUACAGCAGAAUGGUCUUUGAAACCCCCCUUCGCUACUUUCCACCCAGCAACAAAAAUACCCCUGCCUGGAGGAAAAGACUUCAGGCUCUGUCAGGAAGAGAUCCUACCGAGGAUGACCCCACCAUCGUCUACAUGGUCGGAUACCUCCAUACUCUCGAUAACCAAUAUGAUGACCUUUCCUCCCGCUGCACUCACCUAAACUCCCGGGUGGAAAGCCUGGAGCAACAAGUCAAGGAACUUAAAAGGGAAAAGGCGUCCCUCCAAGAGAGUCUCGAAAUAGCAGAAGGCGAGGAAACCAACACUCGUGAAGCCUACCGAACCCUGAAGAUGGAUUACGACAAGAAGCUAAAGAAGCUCGCCCCCGCGAAGAAAAUCCGAAAGAAGACUGAGCAGAAGGAGGAAGCCCCUCUAGCCCUACCUCCUACCAGGAUAGAGAACUCGUCCGACACCGAGGAUAUGUCCCUAGCUAGCCUUGAUGACCUCCUCAAGGAAUUUGGGGACACUUUAGAAAAGGAGUUUGGGAGUACCUUAGAUAGCACCUGCGUGUAAUGCGACUUGUGGUAACUGUAUGCUUGUAAUGAACUUGUGUAAUGAAUAAAAUAACUUGGUUAAAAAAAUUGGCAUAUGCAUAGUAGUAACUCUUUUUCCCUGGUAGAUGGCUUCGAAUAAAACCACGCCUACCGCCUCCGGGAUUGGAGCAGGGUUCCCUUAGGAGCUAAAGGAGAAGCUGGCGGAGAAGGGAGUGAGACCCACCUCCCCACACCUCCGGAGCUGCCAUUAGAUUUAGCCCAAGUUCUAGCCAACCAAACCCGACUCAUUGAAGUCCUCACUAGAAGUCUGGAGAAUUAGCGCCCGAAUGGUGGAAGACCACAGGACAUGAUGGGAGAUUUUCUAAGGCUCAAGCCUCCCACGUUCGCUGGGUCCAGCAAUCCCCUCGAUGCCGACGACUGGCUGCGCACGAUAAAAAGGAAAUUAGAAGCCAUCGGACGCCUAGAAAAUCAACGUGUUCAAUUGGCUGCUCAUCAACUUUCUGGGAUGGCCCUAGCAUGGUGGGAUACCUUCAGCACUACCGUCAGAGACGCUACCUGGGCAGAAUUUGAAACUGCUUUCCGAGAGCACCAUGUACCCCAGGGGAUCGUUCAGCUCAAGGAAGAUGAAUUUCGGGAACUAACUCAAGGAGGAAGAUCUGUCAGUGAGUACGUGCACAAAUUCACAGAAUUGGCUCGCUACGCGCCUGACGAUGUCAGCACAGAAGGCAAGAGGAUGGCCCGUUUCUGAAAGGGCUAAGACCAGAACUCAAGACCAUCCUUGCCAGCCAAGAUUUCCUCAGCUUCUCGCACCUCUCCAACAAAGCCAUACAAGUGGAAAGGGCAAAGGAAGAAGAAAAAGGUCACCUCAAGAGGAAAUUCGAAGUUCUCCGAGCUCAGCAGCAAGACCGACACCAGAGAGCUCGAUCCUUCGAGUUUCCACCCAAGGGACCAAGCUUUAAUAGACCAGCUGGACCCACUCCGUCACGUUUCAGCCAGCAGAGUCAGAGCUCCUUUCAGCCCCCCUCGGGCGCAAGCAACCAACCACCAGCAAAUGCCUGUUGGCACUGCGGAGACCCCAGUCACUUCAAGUAUAACUGCCCCCAGUUGAAGGCACCAGGACCUACUUACUCCAAUUCGGUGAAUGGCCCCAAGAAUACCUCGACACCCGCCUCCAAGGCACCCUCCUCCAACAGUCAGCAGAGCAAGACCCAGUAUCAGGGCAGAGCACGAGUUAACCACGUCGAUUCUCAAGAGGCUCAGCAAGCUCCGGGAGUAGUGCUCGGUGAGUUCCUUGUCGAAUUUACUCCAGCUACUGUACUUUUUGAUUCAGGAGCAUCCCAUUCAUUUAUAGCCACUAGUUUUGUGGAAAAGCAUGGCAUCCCCUCUACGCACCUAGAAAUCCCAUUGGUCACCCGAACCCCAGGGUCAGACAUUCUAUGCAAGCUCAAAUGCUCCCAAGUCAGAAUUCUUUUAAGUGGGGUAGUGUUCUUGGCAGACUUAACCGUUUUGCCAUCCCAAGGGAUUGAUGUGAUCUUAGGAAUGGAUUGGCUAACUAAGCACAAGGGCAUCAUAAGUUGCGCAAGCAAGACCGUCCUUCUCACUGACCGCUAAGGAAAAUCAGUUUCUUGUCAGGCUCAACCACCCGCCAAUGAUCCAAUGGUGUUUAAUCUAGCAACAGAAAGUAUAUCCGUAAUAGAAGAAUUCAUGGAUGUAUUCCCAGAAGAGUUGCCAGGAAUGCCGCCUGAAAGAGGAGUGGAGUUCUACAUAGAUCUAAUUUGUGACAGCCCUCCCAAAUUACCAGGCCCACAUGUACCAAUCCUUGCCUUAAUGACCUCAGAUUGCUAUGCACGUGUACCGGGUAAUUUAACAAGGCUAUCGAGUUCAUCAACUUGAACUCAUCAUCCCAAGGAUCUCCCACAUAACAGGCAUAUUACAGUAAUCACAAUUGAUACACACAUUGGAGAUAGAGAGGAAGACUUUUACAAAAUACACUUUACAUUCUAGAACUCAAGUCUUACAACAUAAAAGGGAAUGAAAUUAUUACAAGUCCUGAUAGUCUUUAGAGUGCAUAACUUAACUACAAUACUUGGAAAGGUGAAGCCUUUCCAUAAAAGAUUCACAUAAGUAAUCUAAGCUUCAAGACCUCCAUAAGGAGCAACUAAUAAAGCCAAGGCAUCAAAAAUCUUUCCUACAACAACAUAGGGAAUAAAACCCUAAGUAGGCAAUUACUCAGCAAGACUUACCCGACUAAGAAAAAGACUCUCAAGGGCAUGCUAGCUUUUGGGGAAUCAAGGGAAAAGCUCAUCAAUUAUCAAUGACUCCUUUUUGCAUAAAAGCUUACUAAUAAUGGAUCCUUAAGCCAAGUUUUAUUUCACAAGUUAGGUUAUUACCUGAAUCUACUAACCUGUCUCUAGAUUCUCCUAAUCUAGAUCAUUCACUUGGCCUACACUAGAUUGCUUUUAACCAAAACUCUGUUAUACUUGUUAUCUACGAUGCAGAGCAGUGAUCCAGUCUUCAUGACCGAGAAGUAACGGCGAUUCGAAUCGAUUAAUACCCAGCUGGGGAUCUCCAGCCACACGACAUAUGUAGCACUUAACCCUUGCAUAUGUCUACCAUUCCCACGGGUCCUCCACUACGUGAACCGGUCCGCGCCACCCGAGAGUACGGUACUCCACCAUCCAGCCACAUGCCAGGUGGGUACACGCCACUCCCGCCGUCUCUCCACUCCCAGUGCGCGAUUGUCUUUUCACAUAUGGAGUAGCCGGGUUCAGGCUUUCCCAUGACGAGGUAUGUGGCCAGUUAAAAGGUCCUAGAUCAACAGGCCUACAAUCGGUACGGUCCUUGAUCGACACAGACGGGCGACCUGUCCAGCUCAACGUCUGGUCUUAUUUUUAAACAAAUUCUCAAAGUUUGAUACCUGGCAGAGGUACCCUGCUUGAAUGAUGAAUUCAUCCCCGCGGAGGAUGCCUCCAUCAUCCCAAGCCCUUUUUCUUUUUAAAAAUCAUGAGUCAUAGAUCAAAAACAUUUUUCUUAAUCUAUAAGCAUAACUAAGCAUUACUAGUUUUUAUAAAACAGGUAACAAGGUAUGAUAAUCAAUCUUUCAAGGAUGGUAAUGCAUCAAGUGUUUAAUCAUUCAACUCCUAUUACCUAAUGCAGCAUAUAAGUGAUAAAAUUUUGUAAUACAAGGAAGGUGGCAAAUGCACCGGGGCUUGCCUUAUUGCAGGAGAAGAUCUAAAACCCUUCUACUCCGAUAAGCAGUUAGAUGGAGUCCAUCACUGGAUCAACAGCACUGGAGCAGGUUCCUCCUUUACAAAGAUCAAUUCUUCUUCUUGGUGUUCUACAUGAAUGUUAUGAAUAUGAAUGCUUGCGUAUGUUAGGAAUAUGUAACUUGCAAAGGAGACAACACAGAUUACUCCUAGACCAAACCUACAAGCUAUAGGUAUCAGGGAGCUAAGCACUCUUAGAACUCAUCUAACUAUCCAAAACUUGCUAACAACUUCCUUCUUUACUAAGACAUCAGGCGCUUUAACUACCGAGGGGUAAAACUCUCUCCCUAUAUUGAGCAAUAGCUAAUUCGCUAAGCAAAUCUUGACCAAACAGCUCUAAAUUUUACCCAAGGGUUCAUGCUCAACAUAAGCUUACACAAAUUUUCAUACAAUUUUUUAGUGCUCUAUUUUUAAACACUCCUAGCACACAAUCUAAAUCCUUUCUUCUCCAAUCAUCACGCAUAAACACUGGAUAAGGACGAUGGCGCAUAAACACUGGAUAUCACCUAAGAACCAAUUCUUUUGGACUUUCUCUUAAAUUUACACAUAUAUACGAACCAUACCUGCUCUAACACGCGACAAGCCGAUGAAGCGAGAGGAACCCGUAAGGCCGCACGGAGAAAACACGCCGAGCACGACGGCUUGUCGGGUGUGAGGAGCGCGAGUGCGACGAGGUCGGAGCAGAGGCUACGGGUUGUCCAAGACGACGACGCGAAGGAGCUGUGGGUCAAGCGCGGCCGGCGAGAAAACGACGAUGAUGUCACGGCGCGCCAAGAGCUCAGCGACGACGAGAGCACCGGUGCUGCUGCGAUGAGGUAGAGGGAUACGACGCUGAAACAGCAGGACGACGACGAGGUGGAGCUCGGACAGCUGGAGAAAGGUGUUGAAGUACGCAGGACCGGACAGGCUGAGAGCGAGCGAUUGGGGAAGAACUACAGAGAAGCUCGCUGGAGCACAGCUUGGAAACGAGCAAGUACAGGGUGGAUGCCGGGGCUAAGAAACAUGGAGAGCGAACGCUGGGGCAGGUGACGGCUGGGGGUUUUCCUGGGGGAGUUAAACGUGGUGAAGCCGUGCAGCAGUUCGAGUUGCAGGUGACGUGAGGAAUUCUCCAACCAGGAACAUCUAUCUCUAUUCAUAUGAGAGAAAAGAAAUAGAAUAUGGUAGCUUCUAGCUGUUGGGAUAAGAAAAAGAGUAGGCGGUGGAGAGUAUUCCAGAGAUAUGGACGUGUGCGAGAAAGAGGAGGAUAGCUGGAGAAUUCCCAACCAACCUUAUCUUCAAAAAAAACAUCUUCAAUUUUGGUUACAGAAUUCUGGUAGAUAUCCAGGAAAUGAGCUAAAACAUCCCCAACAGCUCUCCAACUGAAUUAAGCAAACUAAAUUAAAAUUUCAGCCACCCGAACUGAACUCGCAGCUCAACUGAACCCCCAUCCUCGUUCCAUUUUCAUCACAUGAUCCCAAAUGGUAACAGGUUCCAACAGGGAACCAAC
Molecule: long non-coding RNA, 24025 nt
Filed under: Zea mays
Lineage: Eukaryota; Viridiplantae; Streptophyta; Magnoliopsida; Poales; Poaceae
Description: long non-coding RNA (ZMAY_LNC000003)
Source: RNAcentral